AUUGAACGCUGGCGGCAGGCUUAACACAUGCAAGUCGAGCGGGGGGAGGUAGCUUGCUACCGGACCUAGCGGCGGACGGGUGAGUAAUGCUUAGGAAUCUGCCUAUUAGUGGGGGACAACAUCUCGAAAGGGAUGCUAAUACCGCAUACGUCCUACGGGAGAAAGCAGGGGAUCUUCGGACCUUGCGCUAAUAGAUGAGCCUAAGUCGGAUUAGCUAGUUGGUGGGGUAAAGGCCUACCAAGGCGACGAUCUGUAGCGGGUCAGAGAGGAUGAUCCGCCACGCUGGGACUGGGACACGGCCCAGACUCCGACGGGAGGUAGCAGUGGGGAAUAUUGGACAAUGGGGGGAACCCUGAUCCAGCCAUGCCGCGUGUGUGAAGAAGGCCUUAUGGUUGUAAAGCACUUUAAGCGAGGAGGAGGCUACUUUAGUUAAUACCUAGAGAUUGUGGACGUUACUCGCAGAAUAAGCACCGGCUAACUCUGUGCCAGCCGCCGCGGUAA
Molecule: ribosomal RNA, 501 nt
Filed under: uncultured bacterium
Lineage: Bacteria
Description: partial 16S ribosomal RNA
Rfam family: Bacterial small subunit ribosomal RNA
Source: RNAcentral